RNAcentral lists this transfer RNA (72 nucleotides) under Caudoviricetes sp. Its description in RNAcentral is "tRNA-His". It matches the Rfam family "tRNA". Rfam says of the family: Transfer RNA (tRNA) molecules are approximately 80 nucleotides in length. Their secondary structure includes four short double-helical elements and three loops (D, anti-codon, and T loops). Lineage: Duplodnaviria; Heunggongvirae; Uroviricota; Caudoviricetes. The record is from RNAcentral.
GGGUAUAGUUUAGUGGUAAAACGUCAGAUUGUGGCUCUGAAGUCGCGAGUUCAAUUCUCGCUACUCACCCCA